RNAcentral lists this ribosomal RNA (448 nucleotides) under uncultured bacterium. Its description in RNAcentral is "bacterial SSU rRNA". It matches the Rfam family "Bacterial small subunit ribosomal RNA", at positions 355 to 825 of the family's 1533-position model. The record is from RNAcentral.
UGGGGAAUAUUGGACAAUGGGCGCAAGCCUGAUCCAGCCAUGCCGCGUGAGUGACGAAGGCCUUAGGGUUGUAAAGCUCUUUUUGGCGGGGAAGAUAAUGACGGUACCCGCAGAAUAAGCUCCGGCUAACUUCGUGCCAGCAGCCGCGGUAAUACGAAGGGAGCUAGCGUUGUUCGGAAUCACUGGGCGUAAAGCGCACGUAGGUGGGCAGUUAAGUCAGGGGUGAAAGCCCGAGGCUCAACCUCGGAAUUGCCUCUGAUACUGGCUGUCUAGAGUUCGAGAGAGGUGAGUGGAAUUCCUAGUGUAGAGGUGAAAUUCGUAGAUAUUAGGAAGAACACCGGUGGCGAAGGCGGCUCACUGGCUCGAUACUGACACUGAGGUGCGAAAGCGUGGGGAGCAAACAGGAUUAGAUACCCAAGUAGUCCCUGAGCGGGCUGGCAAGGCGCAU